UAUACAAAAAGGUAUACUAACAAAAUCGGCAAAUACGCAAUUUGUGUGUUCUACAAAUAUAAUUCUGUUUCAGUAAGACCAACAUAAGUCACAAAAAAUAUGCAGUAUUGCACUGUAAUGGGACAGGUAAACGAAUGUUUACCUUUUCAAAGCCUACCAAAAAUAAUAAUAAGUUUUUAAAAUGGUUAUUGGCAUGCGGAGAUGAAAAAUUAUUAAAAAUAGCAGAGAAAAAAAUAGCCAGCAGAAUAAUUUGUGAGAACCAUUUUGAGGAAAGAUAUAAAUUUCCAAAGAAAUUAAGCAAUGAUGCUGUGCCUACUUUAUUAUUACCAAAACCAAUUAAUAUUAUACAACAUGAAAGGAUUGAUGUUACAAAUGCUUCCGAAUUUAUAUCAAAUGGUAAAAGUUAACUUAUUAAUCUGCACACAUAGCACAAAGUCUUCAAGAGAUGUCUAAGGCUGGUAUUCAUAGUCGGAUCUUAUAUUUAAGACCGUCUUAAGUUCAAAUACUGUGUAGCCAAUUAAAUGAUCCAUACAGCA
This is a long non-coding RNA of Harpegnathos saltator (Jerdon's jumping ant), 536 nucleotides long. RefSeq lists it as uncharacterized. Lineage: Eukaryota; Metazoa; Arthropoda; Insecta; Hymenoptera; Formicidae. The transcript has 3 exons. The record is from RefSeq and is a predicted model, not a curated record.